RNAcentral lists this ribosomal RNA (460 nucleotides) under uncultured bacterium. RNAcentral describes it as "partial 16S ribosomal RNA". It matches the Rfam family "Bacterial small subunit ribosomal RNA", at positions 338 to 795 of the family's 1533-position model. The record is from RNAcentral.
CCUACGGGAGGCAGCAGUGAGGAAUCUUGGUCAAUGGCCGUAAGGCUGAACCAGCCAAGUAGCGUGAGGGAAGACUGCCCUAUGGGUUGUAAACCUCUGUUAUGCGGGGAUAAAGUUGUCCACUAGUGGAUGUUUGCAGGUACCUCAUGAAUAAUGACCGGGUAAUGCCGUGCCAGCAGCCGCGGUAAGACGGAUGGUCCGGGCUUUAUCCGGAUUUAUGGGGUUUAAAGGGAGCGUAGGGCGGGCUGUAAGCGUGAGGUGAAAUGUUGUGGCUCAACCAUGAGAGUGCGGCGCGAACUGGGGAACUAGAGUGAGCGGAAGGGAGGCGGAAUUCGUGGUGUAGCGGUGAAAUGCUUAGAUAUCACGAAGAACCCCGAUUGCGAAGGCAGGUUGCCGCAGCGUUACUGACGCUGAAGCUCGAAGGCGAGGGUAGCGAACAGGAUUAGAUACCCUUGUAGUC